RNAcentral lists this ribosomal RNA (441 nucleotides) under uncultured Caulobacteraceae bacterium. RNAcentral's name for it is "bacterial SSU rRNA". It matches the Rfam family "Bacterial small subunit ribosomal RNA", at positions 337 to 795 of the family's 1533-position model. Lineage: Bacteria; Pseudomonadati; Pseudomonadota; Alphaproteobacteria; Caulobacterales; Caulobacteraceae. The record is from RNAcentral.
GCCUACGGGUGGCAGCAGUAGGGAAUCUUGCGCAAUGGGCGAAAGCCUGACGCAGCCAUGCCGCGUGAAUGAUGAAGGUCUUAGGAUUGUAAAAUUCUUUCACCGGGGACGAUAAUGACGGUACCCGGAGAAGAAGCUCCGGCUAACUUCGUGCCAGCAGCCGCGGUAAUACGAAGGGGGCUAGCGUUGCUCGGAAUUACUGGGCGUAAAGGGCGCGUAGGAGGACAGUUUAGUCAGAGGUGAAAGCCCGGGGCUCAACCUUGGAAUAGCCUUUGAUACUGGCUGUCUUGAGUACGGGAGAGGUGUGUGGAACUCCGAGUGUAGAGGUGAAAUUCGUAGAUAUUCGGAAGAACACCAGUGGCGAAGGCGACACACUGGCCCGUUACUGACGCUGAGGCGCGAAAGCGUGGGGAGCAAACAGGAUUAGAUACCCGAGUAGUC